RNAcentral lists this transfer RNA (73 nucleotides) under Candidatus Delongbacteria bacterium GWF2_40_14. RNAcentral's name for it is "tRNA-Gly". It matches the Rfam family "tRNA". Rfam says of the family: Transfer RNA (tRNA) molecules are approximately 80 nucleotides in length. Their secondary structure includes four short double-helical elements and three loops (D, anti-codon, and T loops). The record is from RNAcentral. RNAcentral also lists the same sequence under 6 other names. Lineage: Bacteria; Candidatus Delongiibacteriota.
GCGGGAGUAGCUCAGUUGGUAGAGCAUCAGCCUUCCAAGCUGAGGGUCGCGAGUCCGAGUCUCGUCUCCCGCU